RNAcentral lists this ribosomal RNA (128 nucleotides) under Vibrio parahaemolyticus. RNAcentral's name for it is "partial 16S ribosomal RNA". It matches the Rfam family "Bacterial small subunit ribosomal RNA", at positions 1 to 108 of the family's 1533-position model. The record is from RNAcentral. Lineage: Bacteria; Pseudomonadati; Pseudomonadota; Gammaproteobacteria; Vibrionales; Vibrionaceae.
CUUAAAUUGAAGAGUUUGAUCAUGGCUCAGAUUGAACGCUGGCGGCAGGCCUAACACAUGCAAGUCGAGCGGAAACGAGUUAUCAGAACCUUCGGGGGACGAUAACGGCGUCGAGCGGCGGACGGGUG